Molecule: transfer RNA, 73 nt
Filed under: Diaphorina citri (Asian citrus psyllid)
Lineage: Eukaryota; Metazoa; Arthropoda; Insecta; Hemiptera; Psyllidae
Rfam family: tRNA
About the family: Transfer RNA (tRNA) molecules are approximately 80 nucleotides in length.
Source: Rfam by way of RNAcentral
GCCUGGUUAGCUUAGUUGGUAGUGCGUCUGCCUUGUAAGCGCUAGGCCGCGGGUUUGAUUCCCGCCCGGGGCG